RNAcentral lists this ribosomal RNA (164 nucleotides) under Metagentiana gentilis. RNAcentral's name for it is "5.8S ribosomal RNA". It matches the Rfam family "5.8S ribosomal RNA". Rfam says of the family: 5.8S ribosomal RNA (5.8S rRNA) is a component of the large subunit of the eukaryotic ribosome. The record is from RNAcentral. Lineage: Eukaryota; Viridiplantae; Streptophyta; Magnoliopsida; Gentianales; Gentianaceae. RNAcentral also lists the same sequence under 10 other names.
AAAACGACUCUCGGCAACGGAUAUCUCGGCUCUCGCAUCGAUGAAGAACGUAGCGAACUGCGAUACUUGGUGUGAAUUGCAGAAUCCCGUGAACCAUCGAGUCUUUGAACGCAAGUUGCGCCCGAAGCCAUUAGGCUGAGGGCACGUCUGCCUGGGCGUCACGC